AAUAAAAUGGCUGAGUUAAAGCUGUAAACUGUAAAUUUACCCAUGGGUUUCCCUUUUAUUA
Molecule: transfer RNA, 61 nt
Filed under: Eurytemora affinis
Lineage: Eukaryota; Metazoa; Arthropoda; Copepoda; Calanoida; Temoridae
Description: tRNA-Tyr
Source: RNAcentral